Long non-coding RNA from Actinia tenebrosa (Australian red waratah sea anemone), 559 nucleotides. RefSeq lists it as uncharacterized. Lineage: Eukaryota; Metazoa; Cnidaria; Anthozoa; Actiniaria; Actiniidae. The record is from RefSeq and is a predicted model, not a curated record.
GAACUCGAGAUUAAAAUUAGACACAUUUCGCGUCAUUUACAUCCGAGGGAAUUCUUUUCCUUGAAAGCUUCAAAAGAGUAUAAAAGAAGUGGGAAUAGAUUCCUUUAGUACUUAUUGCACACUGAAGAAGAACGACCUAAGAAGACUCCUCAAAGAGAAUUCGUGCACAACCCAAAUCAAAUAAUGGCAUCAAGCAAAGCAUUAGUGGUUCUUCUCGCCAUAUUCGUGCUGUGUGGAGUCGUUUUCCAGUGUAGUGACGCCUUCCUUAGGAACGGACGAGAUGAAAUCAUGGCGAGAAAACGGGCAGAGUUGGGCUAUCCACCCUAUGAAGAAUACCAAUACGAUGAAGCGAAUAUGGCCAAGGCUAGACGAGAAGCAAAGAGAUCUAAGGAAUAGAUAACUGAAUGUGUCUCUUCAAUCAAGACGUAACCAUCAAAAUAAAAAAAACUCGCGUGUUUCAUCAGCAACGACAUGCAUUUUGUAGUUCCAAUGAUUCCAAUGUAUACGUGAAAAAUAGUUGUACAAAAAUAACAAGCAAUAAAGUGGAAAAAAUUCAGUA